This 316-nucleotide unclassified non-coding RNA is filed under the name plant metagenome. RNAcentral describes it as "partial contains 5.8S ribosomal RNA, internal transcribed spacer 2, and large subunit ribosomal RNA". The stretch from base 1 to 105 matches the Rfam family "5.8S ribosomal RNA", at positions 50 to 154 of the family's 154-position model. The record is from RNAcentral.
GAAAUGCGAUAACUAGUGUGAAUUGCAGAAUUCCGUGAAUCAUCGAGUCUUUGAACGCACAUUGCGCCCCCUGGUAUUCCGGGGGGCAUGCCUGUCCGAGCGUCAUUGCUGCCCAUCAAGCACGGCUUGUGUGUUGGGUCGGCGUCCCCUCUCCGGGGGGGACGGGCCCCAAAGGCAGCGGCGGCACCGCGUCCGAUCCUCGAGCGUAUGGGGCUUUGUCACCCGCUCUGUAGGCCCGGCCGGCGCUUGCCGAACGCAAAUCAAUCUUUUUCCAGGUUGACCUCGGAUCAGGUAGGGAUACCCGCUGAACUUAAGC